This 87-nucleotide transfer RNA is filed under the name Clostridiaceae bacterium. Its description in RNAcentral is "tRNA-Leu". It matches the Rfam family "tRNA". From Rfam's summary of the family: Transfer RNA (tRNA) molecules are approximately 80 nucleotides in length. Their secondary structure includes four short double-helical elements and three loops (D, anti-codon, and T loops). Lineage: Bacteria; Bacillati; Bacillota; Clostridia; Eubacteriales; Clostridiaceae. The record is from RNAcentral. RNAcentral also lists the same sequence under 2 other names.
GCGGAGGUGGCGGAAUUGGCAGACGCGCUGGAUUCAGGUUCCAGUGGUAGCAAUACUGUGUGGGUUCAAGUCCCAUCCCCCGCACCA